Molecule: long non-coding RNA, 1539 nt
Organism: Cyprinus carpio (common carp)
Lineage: Eukaryota; Metazoa; Chordata; Actinopteri; Cypriniformes; Cyprinidae
Source: RefSeq, a predicted model, not a curated record
CCAUGUAAAGUAAUCAGAACAAGCGGACUCCAUUUCCCACAGUGCAGUGCGGUGGGUGGGUGUCAUGUGACGCUUGUGUGCGUGAGAGUCAAGAGCUGCUCGCGAGCGUGUGUGCAGCAGAGUCUGUCGCCUCCACAGCAGGUGUGUGUGUGUGUGUGUGUGUGCGCGCGCGCGGCUUCACUCGAGGACACUCUCAGGAUGUAACGUUGUGUGGAUUAGUCUGUUUGGACGCGCGAGACUGGGGUUCAUAACGCGUGGAAUAAUCUCGCUUUCCAGGACUGACAGAAGACACAGCAGGAACCAGUGCUCGGUGGGUCCACCCUGACUUCGUGUCGCGCUUCCUGAAGAAAGGAAAAGCCCUGAUGUGCUUGUCACCUGAGCUGACGGCCGGGGCUGCGUGAUGGAGGCCGAAUGUCUUCACUUGGUCCCUCUUCAGACACUCAAAGGCCGCUCUGUUUCAGCCUGAUGACGAGCCGAUUGGAUAUAAUCUUGAGCAGCGGACUCAGGAGAUGGGGAGGAAUAGGGAAACUCUACAGUAGGCUUUGCAGGGAAGGAUCGUCUUUCUCCAGAAGUAGGAAACGAGCGUCGGAGGGUUCCUGCUGCCAGUCGGCUCUCUCCUCCUGUUACGACACGGGACCAAAUUCAAACCAUGUGUCCUCGCACCCGGUUAGCUGCUUUUGCCCACCUCUAGCAUUAGCAGUCUGGACGGAUCCAUUUCACUGCCCCUCUCCCGUGUAGCGUUCUCAUUCUCCCAGCCCCAAAUGAGCCUCUCCGUGGGACUCCUGCCUUAAUAGGCUGGAACUUUCCCAUGUCCGGUCUCCAAAGGUGGCUGUUAUCCUCCGAGGGCCCCUGUGCGAGUUUCAAGCUCGGGCUCAUGUUAUGAGCCGGGCGAGGUGGACUCCGGGAUGUCAGAUGUGAUGCUUCACACAGAUUUUCACGGUAGUGUCUGAGCAGACCUGUGGAUGAGUGUGACAGCUGGUUCCUCCACAUCAUGGAUUGGUCAGAGAUAUCUGGAGAUGCUCGUUUCAUAAGUGGAUUUCAGUUGUGUGGACUACAUCACAGCAUCUGCUGUUUCGGUUUCCCGUGCUUUGACUGCAGAGACUCGAUUACUCGGACUGUUUUAUUCUUUACGUCAUGUGUUUUCAGCUGAUUUGUCAGUACACUGUUCCAGUCAUGCUAAAAUAUACAAUACACAUACAGUAGUUAUGAUGUUGAAACUCUUGUUCACUGCACCCGUAGAUGCCCUACUAACUAAAGUUUAUAUGCCAGGGACUAGAUCUUCUAGCGAUCUAAUAAAUAUUGUUUGAAUGUAAAUUGUGCUAAUAUUUCAAUAAUAUAGCAAUGUUUUAUAAAGAAAUAAGGCACUUUGUUGUAAAUGACUACAGUAUAUCACAAUCUAACACAUCCUCUUGUACAGUAUUGCUUCCUUUUAAUAUAUAAAUAUUUUUUUUACAUACACGUGUGUGUAAUUAUGAUAUUAUUUUUUAAAAUUGUUCAGAAUUUUUGCUUAAUAAAAAAUAAAUGGUCGAUUGAAGCAAA